GAAAAAUCUGUAGUUUGAAACAACUAUAUUAACUUAUUCCUAAUCAUAAUAAGGCUGAAAUUAACAGUGCCUUUGCCAAGCUAUGUGGAGUUGAUUUCACAUUUCUUAUUUGCAAAUUUUCAUGAUCUAGGCUCAUAGUUUCUCUUAAGCUGAAGUCUUUCCGUAUUUUGUGGCUUGGAUCCAUAAGCUUAUUGGCCUUUAUUUAUCCUUGCAACUUCAUUAGCGUAGUGUAGUGAAGAUUUGAAG
This 246-nucleotide unclassified non-coding RNA is filed under the name Hevea brasiliensis (rubber tree). The record is from RNAcentral. Lineage: Eukaryota; Viridiplantae; Streptophyta; Magnoliopsida; Malpighiales; Euphorbiaceae.